RNAcentral lists this ribosomal RNA (241 nucleotides) under uncultured Staphylococcus sp. RNAcentral describes it as "partial 16S ribosomal RNA". It matches the Rfam family "Bacterial small subunit ribosomal RNA", at positions 102 to 334 of the family's 1533-position model. Lineage: Bacteria; Bacillati; Bacillota; Bacilli; Caryophanales; Staphylococcaceae. The record is from RNAcentral.
GCGACGGGUGAGUAACACGUGGAUAACCUACCUAUAAGACUGGGAUAACUUCGGGAAACCGGAGCUAAUACCGGAUAAUAUAUUGAACCGCAUGGUUCAAUAGUGAAAGACGGUUUUGCUGUCACUUAUAGAUGGAUCCGCGCCGCAUUAGCUAGUUGGUAAGGUAACGGCUUACCAAGGCAACGAUGCGUAGCCGACCUGAGAGGGUGAUCGGCCACACUGGAACUGAGACACGGUCCAG